GAGAAGGUAGCUUCGGCUACUGGAGAGUGGCGCACGGGUGAGUAACGCGUGGGGACCUACCUCUUAGUGGGGGAUAACGGUUGGAAACGACCGCUAAUACCGCAUACGCCCUUCGGGGGAAAGAUUUAUCGCUAAGAGAUGGACCCGCGUUGGAUUAGAUAGUUGGUGAGGUAACGGCUCACCAAGUCAGCGAUCCAUAGCUGGUUUGAGAGGAUGAUCAGCCACACUGGGACUGAGACACGGCCCAGACUCCUACGGGAGGCAGCAGUGGGGAAUAUUGGACAAUGGGGGCAACCCUGAUCCAGCCAUGCCGCGUGAGUGAAGAAGGCCUUCGGGUUGUAAAGCUCUUUCAGAUGCGAAGAUGAUGACGGUAACAUCAGAAGAAGCCCCGGCUAAUUUCGUGCCAGCAGCCGCGGUAAU
This 420-nucleotide ribosomal RNA is filed under the name uncultured Thalassospira sp. Its description in RNAcentral is "bacterial SSU rRNA". It matches the Rfam family "Bacterial small subunit ribosomal RNA", at positions 68 to 524 of the family's 1533-position model. The record is from RNAcentral. Lineage: Bacteria; Pseudomonadati; Pseudomonadota; Alphaproteobacteria; Rhodospirillales; Thalassospiraceae.